UCGCAAGGUCAGACAGUCGCCGCGUGGCAACACGGGGAGGAAAGUCCGGGCUACAUAGAGCAAAAUGCCAGUUAACGGCUGGGUAUCGCAAGAUAACGGAAAGUGGCACAGAAAACAAACCGCCGCAAGGUAAGGGUGAAAAGGCGUGGUAAGAGCACACCGCAUCACGGGUAACCGUCAUGGCAGGCUAAACCCCAUUUGUAGCAAGACCAAAUAGAAUACGCAGAUGCUGCUCGCGGAGUAUUCGGGUAGGUUGCUUGAACUUAUUGGCGACAAUAAGUCUAGAUGAAUGACUGUCCAACGACAGAACCCGGCUUAUCGACCUUACGAUGGU
Molecule: RNase P RNA, 334 nt
Filed under: Neisseriaceae bacterium
Lineage: Bacteria; Pseudomonadati; Pseudomonadota; Betaproteobacteria; Neisseriales; Neisseriaceae
Description: RNase P RNA component class A
Rfam family: Bacterial RNase P class A
About the family: Ribonuclease P (RNase P) is a ubiquitous endoribonuclease, found in archaea, bacteria and eukarya as well as chloroplasts and mitochondria. Its best characterised activity is the generation of mature 5'-ends of tRNAs by cleaving the 5'-leader elements of precursor-tRNAs. Cellular RNase Ps are ribonucleoproteins.
Source: RNAcentral